RNAcentral lists this ribosomal RNA (254 nucleotides) under uncultured bacterium. RNAcentral describes it as "partial 16S ribosomal RNA". It matches the Rfam family "Bacterial small subunit ribosomal RNA", at positions 524 to 776 of the family's 1533-position model. The record is from RNAcentral.
UACGGGGGGAGCAAGCGUUGUUCGGAUUUACUGGGCGUAAAGGGCGCGUAGGCGGCCAGCGCAAGUCAGUUGUGAAAUCUCCGGGCUUAACUCGGAACGGUCAACUGAUACUGCGCGGCUAGAGUGCAGAAGGGGCAACUGGAAUUCUCGGUGUAGCGGUGAAAUGCGUAGAUAUCGAGAGGAACACCUGCGGCGAAGGCGGGUUGCUGGGCCGACACUGACGCUGAUGCGCGAAAGCCAGGGGAGCGAACGGG